GAUACGGAGCCUAAAAUUUAUAGUGGCGGACGGGUGAGUAACACGUUGGAACCUACCCCGAAGAGGGAGAUAACAACCCGAAAGGGUUGCUAAUACCCCAUAUACUCCGAUUUAUUCGGAGGAAAGCUUUUGCGCUUCGGGAGGGGCCUGCGUAACAUUAGCUUGUUGGUGAGGUAAAAGCUCACCAAGGCUACGAUGUUUAGCUGGUUUGAGAGGAUGAUCAGCCACACUGGGACUGAGAUACGGCCCAGACUCCUACGGGAGGCAGCAGUGAGGAAUAUUCCACAAUGGGGGAAACCCUGAUGGAGCGAUGCCGCGUGCAGGAAGACGCUUUUCGGAGUGUAAACUGCUUUUAAUAGGGAAGAUUAUGACGGUACCUAUCGAAUAAGGACCGGCUAACUACGUGCCAGCAGCCGCGGUAAUACGUAGGGUCCAAGCGUUAUUCGGAAUUACUGGGCGUAAAGCGUACGUAGGCGGUUUGGUAAGUUGGAUGUGAAAUCCUGUGGCUCAACCACAUGGACUGUGUCCAAAACUACCAAACUUGAGCAUAGUAGAGGCAAGUGGAAUUUGCGGUGUAGGAGUGACAUCCGUAGAUAUCGCAAGGAACACCAAUGGCGAAGGCAGCUUGCUGGGCUAUUGCUGACGCUCAGGUACGAAAGCGUGGGGAGCGAACGGGAUUAGAUACCCCGGUAGUCCACGCCGUAAACGAUGAUCACUAACAGUAUGGAGAUUCGACCCUCUGUGUUGUAAAGCUAACGCGUUAAGUGAUCCGCCUGGGGAGUACGGGCGCA
This 791-nucleotide ribosomal RNA is filed under the name uncultured bacterium. RNAcentral describes it as "bacterial SSU rRNA". It matches the Rfam family "Bacterial small subunit ribosomal RNA", at positions 76 to 890 of the family's 1533-position model. The record is from RNAcentral.